Molecule: small RNA, 125 nt
Filed under: Rhizobium giardinii
Lineage: Bacteria; Pseudomonadati; Pseudomonadota; Alphaproteobacteria; Hyphomicrobiales; Rhizobiaceae
Description: Alphaproteobacterial ar14
Rfam family: Alphaproteobacterial ar14
About the family: Smr14C2 was renamed NfeR1 (Nodule Formation Efficiency RNA) highly expressed in salt stress and during the symbiotic interaction on legume roots.
Source: Rfam by way of RNAcentral
CAACUUCGGAGCAGCGCACUUCUCCUCCCAGCGCGCGCCGAUGGGGAUCGGUAACUCUCCUCCUCCCGGUUGCCGAUCAGAACAAGCAGCGCCCGCCGGACCUCCUCCCCCGGCGGGCGUUGUUU